Beta vulgaris subsp. vulgaris (sugar beet) is the source of this 1916-nucleotide long non-coding RNA. RefSeq lists it as uncharacterized. The record is from RefSeq and is a predicted model, not a curated record. The transcript is spliced from 4 exons. NCBI's taxonomy places the organism in Eukaryota, Viridiplantae, Streptophyta, Magnoliopsida, Caryophyllales, Amaranthaceae.
UGGAAGCUGAGACUUGAGCUUCUUACAGAUUUGAAAGCCUGUAGAAAUAGGGACUGGUUAUCUACUGGACAUAGCUGAUUGAUACUUUGACAUGUUAGAUGCAUUGUGACUCGUACAGACAUUUAUGAUCUAUGGAAGCAUUCAGUAACACUAGUCGUAUUUAUCGGGAUCAGAAAUACAAGAUUUCUCCAAAGACCACCUUUGCUCCUCGUACUCGUCAAGGUGUAGGUUGCCAACAAAGGCAAGUGUCAGAUAGAAGGAUAUGUAAAGAGGAUGAGCUAGUCAGGUACAUGUGACACUUAUCAAGUUAUUUAGAGAAAGGAAAGAAUUUUCAGGAGAAAGGACUAAAUGUUGGUGUUCUUGACUGGAGGCGCCUUGACAACUAGCGGUAUAGUAAACAACAGAUAUGAUGUUACGGUAUUAAGGGGCCUCAAUCCAGCUUAUAUCUACCUUCUCUUUAGGAAGAAUGGUAUCCAAGCAUGGUCAGCUCUUGGCGGCUGCGUUUUGUGCAUCAAGGUAAUUUAAAUAGUAUUUUUGGUUGUGAUUGCCAUGAAGUUAGCAACAUAUAUCAUUUCUACUUGACUUCUUUAAUAAGUCAAAUUGUUGUCAUUCUUUGUACCAUCAUUCCUUCAAUCGAUCACUACUACAUAAUUAGUAUGAUACAUUUCCUAUUGUUUUGGCUGCUGCAACUAAUCCCCUUGGUUCUUUCUUAACCAGAUUAAGUUGUUUCAAUUCAGAGAAAAAUUUCUAACAAGUUGUGUUUGAAAGCCUAAAGAGGUCGUUUCUUUUCAGAAUGCUGAAUUACUUUUCAAGAAGUUUAUGACGUUCUGUUAACUUGCCUAUGCUAACAUUGUAAUUUGUUGGAGUUGUAUGAUCGUAGGAGCUCAAGCAAUGUUUGCUUAUCUAGGUCACUUCUCUAUACGAUCCAUUCAGGCAGAUUGCAUUCACUUGUGUUGUGUUCCCCUGCCUUGUGUUUAGCUUACAUGGGCCAAGCAGCGUUUUUGAUGAGGUUUCCAGCCUCAUCUGAACGAGUAUUUUAUGAAAGCGUACCAGAAGGACUUUUCUGGCAAGUCUUUGUGAUUAUUACACUCGCUGCUGUUAUUGCCAGUCAGGCCAUCAUAUCUGCUACCUUUUCAGUCACGAAGCAAGCCAUGGCCCUGUCAUGUUUCUCGAGGCUGAAGAUAAUUCACACCUCAAAGAGAUUUUGCUCUUGAAUGAUGAACUGGAUAUUGAUAGUGGCUUAGUGAGAUCAAGGGAUGCAGACGCUACUAAUGAUGUUGGAGAUGAGCUGCGAACUUCAUUGAUGCAUGAUCAACGAUUAGGAGAACCAAAAACACUAAAAUCAGAAGAAAACACGGAUAGUGUAUUGUCGUCAGAGGAUGAUCCUAGCUGGCUAAGCUAAAUUAUUUAAACAAUCAAACACAAGAUGAUGGAGAUUGAAGAUAACGGUCAAGUUUGAAUUGUACAUAUUAUUUGAUUAUUUUAGAAUUUUGGUUUUAGUAGGUAGCAUUAUAUUAUAGAAACUUUAUUUUAAGACAUUAUGAGAAGAAAUUGAUUCUUUGAAUGAAAUUGGUUUUGUAUUUAGAUUAAAUGUAGCAAAUAUUAUUUUGACAUGAUGAAUAAAGAAAUCAAGAAUUUAUGUUUAAUAAUAUUAUUGUGGCUAUUUAUAAAUUGUUAUAUAAAUCUGUCAAAAAAAAAUAAAAAAAAAUUCUUUUUAUUAAAAAAAAAACGUAUAUACAAGGAGUCGCAAAUACAGGAUAAUGUAUGUAAAUUGUAACAUUUUACUUUAAAAAAACGUAUAAUAAACCUAAGAAACCGGUUGUGGUCAAUAAAUCGGUUGUGGUCAAUAAAUGGUUCCAAAGGAUAAGGUAAGGAGAAUGGUUUUGAAUGUUAAAUGGUCUCCUAACCUCUUUACA